GUAUUAUAGGGAUGGGGAUACGGUAAACAACCCCAUAAUCUCCUGUAUAGUAAUAUGCUAUAUAUAUACAUAUAAAUAAGCAUAUCAGGGUUAAAAAGAGGUGUUCACCAUAUGAGGGUCCGUUUGUGGAUCACGUAGACAACAUAUUAGGAGUUAUCAUGAUACUAUUAAAGGAUGUUCUAUUAAUUGCGUUUAUUAUAAGAUAUAUGUAUUAACCUACGUAUCAUUAGUAGAUAGUCUAUUGUGUGAAUGAGUAGGCGUAGGCCAAUGGUAUCUAGGCAUGCGCACUAACGGCGUGUCUAUUGGUCAGGAGGUCAUAACACUGGGGGGUAGGUGUGUCGGGUAUUCUGUGGAUCACCUAUAGGGGAUAUAUAUCGAACCAGUGCAGAAUGAAGAUAACCCUGAUCCUCCAAACACCCUGAUCCUCCAAACACCCUGAUCCUCCAAACGUCUGAGCGCUAGGCUAAGCUAGUAGACUCGUCAUAGCGGCUGCAGAAGAAAGGAGAAGAAAGAAAAACAGCUACUACAACCUGCACAACUAUGCCUACUGACUUUUUUCCGUAGUGAUUUCUGACGUCGGCUAUGAGAGCGUGAAAAGGCAUCAGGUUCCACGCGCACCAGGUGCUGAUAUUCGGUUGAAUAAUCAAAGAUCGAUACUCGGUGAUCGGACCAAUGUGGGGGCCAGCAGUAGUUAUGGUGAGUUAUUAGUACACACGCUAUUAUCAUACAUGUAUUACAUCUAUUUUAUUGGGCAUUUAAUAAUGAAUAAAAAAAAUAAUAAAAAAAACCAGAACUGCAAGCAG
This is a long non-coding RNA of Gadus morhua (Atlantic cod), 803 nucleotides long. RefSeq lists it as uncharacterized. The transcript has 3 exons. NCBI's taxonomy places the organism in Eukaryota, Metazoa, Chordata, Actinopteri, Gadiformes, Gadidae. The record is from RefSeq and is a predicted model, not a curated record.